GUGCCAGCCGCCGCGGUAAUACGGGGGGGGCAAGCGUUGUUCGGAAUUACUGGGCGUAAAGGGCUUGUAGGUGGCCCCAUAAGUCAGACGUGAAAUCCCUUGGCUUAACCAAGGAACUGCGUCUGAGACUGCGGGGCUUGAAUCCGGGAGAGGGAUGCGGAAUUCCAGGUGUAGCGGUGAAAUGCGUAGAUAUCUGGAGGAACACCGGUGGCGAAGGCGGCAUCCUGGACCGGUAUUGACACUGAAAAGCGAAAGCCAGGGGAGCAAACGGGAUUAGAAACCCCUGUAGUCC
RNAcentral lists this ribosomal RNA (292 nucleotides) under uncultured bacterium. RNAcentral describes it as "partial 16S ribosomal RNA". It matches the Rfam family "Bacterial small subunit ribosomal RNA", at positions 505 to 796 of the family's 1533-position model. The record is from RNAcentral.